UUUUGUGUAUGUUGUGAGUAGCACAGGAAAUAACCAAGGAAGGGGCAAAAGUAACCUUUUAUUUCAUCUGUGAAAAAAAAAAAGAGGUUUUAUGUGUUUUUGUUUGUUUGUUUUUUUAACCUCUGAAGAGAGAACCUGGGGAUAAGGGAUGUGAACAGCUAAACCAGACCAUACGGCGGGCUUCUACCACGCUUAUCUGACCUCCUUUAAAGAGAGGAAAAUCCAAAUAGCCUUGUCUGAGUUGUAAAGACUAGCUAGCAAGACUCUCGCUUUUAAAAAUAGACUAAGACUACUCUGGAGCAACUGGAAUACAAAUUAGCUCCUACAUUUCCAAGGACCUGCAUUGCCUGUGCUGCUUCAGACCCUGCAAGCUGCGUUGUGUGACUGGAUCCCAUCUAGAGCCUCCUAGUAAGUGACAUCAGUAAGACACUCAAUCUUUGUGAUUGUAAGAGACAACAAGGAUCAUAACUGGUUUAUAAGAUAGGAAUUUGGAUAAAAUAAGAUCCCAUGAAUUGCCGUCACUAGUCCAUCAAUCCAGUAUACUACCUCCAGCAGCAGCCAGUAUCAUGAUGGGAGUUGGCAAUCCCCAUAACACAUCUGACCAGUUAGGCAAUAUU
Mauremys mutica (yellowpond turtle) is the source of this 617-nucleotide long non-coding RNA. RefSeq lists it as uncharacterized. The transcript is spliced from 3 exons. NCBI's taxonomy places the organism in Eukaryota, Metazoa, Chordata, Testudines, Geoemydidae. The record is from RefSeq and is a predicted model, not a curated record.